GAUGAAGAACGCAGCGAAAUGCGAUACUUGGUGUGAAUUGCAGAAUCCCGUGAACCAUCGAGUCUUUGAACGCAAGUUGCGCCCGAAGCCAUUAGGCCGAGGGCACGCCUGCCUGGGCGUCACACGUCGUUGCCCCCCCAUCUACUCCUUCGGGAUUGCGGGGGGGCGGAUGAUGGCCUCCUGUGCGCCUAGCCGCGCGGUUGGCAUAAAUACCAAGUCCUCGGCGACGCACGCCACGACAAUCGGUGGUUGCGAAACCUCGGUUGCCCGUCGUGUGCGUUCGUCGCGCAUCGAGGGCUCGAAAAAAUGCUCGGCUCCGGCUGGGCUUUCAACGCGACCCCAGGUCAGGCGGGGUUACCCGCUGAAUUUAAGCAUAUCAAUAAGCGGAGGA
Molecule: unclassified non-coding RNA, 391 nt
Filed under: soil metagenome
Description: partial contains 5.8S ribosomal RNA, internal transcribed spacer 2, and large subunit ribosomal RNA
Rfam family: 5.8S ribosomal RNA (bases 1-122)
Source: RNAcentral